GAUUUAUAAAGAAGAGGUGAGAGACAGGCUCGAUGACCCUCUGGCAACCUGGAAAUACCAAGGUGCCAAUUCCUGCCAGAAGAUUCUGGAAAUAUAAAUU
RNAcentral lists this non-coding RNA (100 nucleotides) under Mariniradius saccharolyticus AK6. RNAcentral's name for it is "SAM riboswitch aptamer (S box leader)". It matches the Rfam family "SAM riboswitch aptamer (S box leader)". Rfam says of the family: The SAM riboswitch is found upstream of a number of genes which code for proteins involved in methionine or cysteine biosynthesis in Gram-positive bacteria. The SAM riboswitch acts at the level of transcription termination control. Lineage: Bacteria; Pseudomonadati; Bacteroidota; Cytophagia; Cytophagales; Cyclobacteriaceae. The record is from Rfam by way of RNAcentral. RNAcentral also lists the same sequence under 1 other name.